GCCCGGGUAGGGUAGUGGUUAUCCCGGGGGCCUGUGGAGCCCCAGUUCGCGGGUUCGAUCCCCGCCCCGGGCC
RNAcentral lists this transfer RNA (73 nucleotides) under Thermoproteota archaeon. RNAcentral's name for it is "tRNA-His". It matches the Rfam family "tRNA". Rfam says of the family: Transfer RNA (tRNA) molecules are approximately 80 nucleotides in length. Lineage: Archaea; Thermoproteati; Thermoproteota. The record is from RNAcentral. RNAcentral also lists the same sequence under 1 other name.